GGAAAUAUCUUGAUCAAUUCGAUGUUGUGGUGCUGAAUACAGGUCAUCACUGGAAUAGAGGGAAGAUUAACGCAAAUCGAUGGGUGAUGCAUGUAAAUGGAAAGCCUGUUGUAGACAGGAAGCUUGCACAAAUAGGAAAUGCUAAAAACUUCACAGUUUAUAGUAUUGCCAGAUGGCUUGAUUCCCAAAUUGCAUCACGUCCACAGCUUAAGGGUUUCUUUCGGACCAUAUCACCCAGGCAUUC
RNAcentral lists this unclassified non-coding RNA (244 nucleotides) under Hevea brasiliensis (rubber tree). Lineage: Eukaryota; Viridiplantae; Streptophyta; Magnoliopsida; Malpighiales; Euphorbiaceae. The record is from RNAcentral.